This 313-nucleotide unclassified non-coding RNA is filed under the name Hevea brasiliensis (rubber tree). Lineage: Eukaryota; Viridiplantae; Streptophyta; Magnoliopsida; Malpighiales; Euphorbiaceae. The record is from RNAcentral.
GGGUAUGGCAGUUCCUGGGUUUGCCUUUGUUUUUGAGUAUUUAAGUUCUUGUUUGGUUGCUGAGAAUAUUAGGGUUCUUGACUUUGGCAUAUUCACCUGAGCCUAGUCAUUCUACUACCACUGCAUGCGGUUGCUUUUAAUUGCUCAUGACUAGUAAAUUAUCACUAUCUUAUGUUAGAAGUUGGUGAAACUGAAACCACUCGGAUUAUAUUCAAGGAAACAUACUUAUUUUCUUGAGUUUUGAUUGUGGGUGUAACUGGGCAUCGUGAAUUCUUAAAUGCAUGUGGGAGCUUUUCUUGGAAUUGCAUGUUUU